UUUAAAUUGAGAGUUUGAUCCUGGCUCAGGAUGAACGCUGGCGGCGUGCUUAACACAUGCAAGUCGAGCGAUGAAGUUUCCUUCGGGAAACGGAUUAGCGGCGGACGGGUGAGUAACACGUGGGUAACCUGCCUCAUAGAGUGGAAUAGCCUUCCGAAAGGAAGAUUAAUACCGCAUAACGUUGAAAGAUGGCAUCAUCAUUCAACCAAAGG
RNAcentral lists this ribosomal RNA (212 nucleotides) under Clostridium perfringens. RNAcentral's name for it is "partial 16S ribosomal RNA". It matches the Rfam family "Bacterial small subunit ribosomal RNA", at positions 1 to 207 of the family's 1533-position model. Lineage: Bacteria; Bacillati; Bacillota; Clostridia; Eubacteriales; Clostridiaceae. The record is from RNAcentral.